RNAcentral lists this transfer RNA (71 nucleotides) under Marmota monax (woodchuck). RNAcentral describes it as "tRNA.Thr". The record is from RNAcentral. Lineage: Eukaryota; Metazoa; Chordata; Mammalia; Rodentia; Sciuridae.
GGGGCUGUUACUCAGUGGUGGAGUGCUCAUCUAGUAUGUGCGAGGCCCUGGGUUCGAUCCUCAGCAUCACA